AACGUAGGUCCCGAGCGUUAUCCGGAUUUACUGGGCGUAAAGCGUGUUCAGGCGGUCUAGCAAGUCGGGCAUGAAAUCUCUCGGCUCAACCGGGAGGGGUUGUCCGAUACUGCUGGGCUUGAGGGCAGCAGAGGGUGGUGGAAUUCCGGGUGUAGUGGUGAAAUGCGUAGAUAUCCGGAGGAACACCAGUGGCGAAGGCGGCUACCUGGACCGGUUCUGACGCUGAUGCGCGAAAGCGUGGGUAGCAAACAGG
RNAcentral lists this ribosomal RNA (253 nucleotides) under uncultured bacterium. RNAcentral's name for it is "partial 16S ribosomal RNA". It matches the Rfam family "Bacterial small subunit ribosomal RNA", at positions 524 to 776 of the family's 1533-position model. The record is from RNAcentral.